Molecule: unclassified non-coding RNA, 1683 nt
Filed under: Leishmania donovani
Lineage: Eukaryota; Euglenozoa; Kinetoplastea; Trypanosomatida; Trypanosomatidae
Description: gene:LdHU3.35.5030(CDS-product:hypothetical_prote in_conserved)
Source: RNAcentral
GUGCCCGCGCGGGCAUGCGAAAUCGCACAGUGCGCGAUGCCGCAGUCUCAAUCGAGCUGGCGAGCUGCCUCGUCAUGUGAGUCUAGCAACGCAGACGGGAUGGCAGAAACCACGAUGACGGCCGAGCGGCAGAUGGCGGGUAUCAAGAGUCGCGAGCGACUGCGACGGGAUCAAGAGAGGCAGCUACGGCAACUCCCAUUUCUGUACCACCGCGUCAAAGAUCUUCAUGACACGUGCGAGCGGCUGGAGCAGGAGCUCGCGAGCUCGCAUCAGCGAGUGGCCGCCUUUCAGCAGGAAGCGUUUGCUCUGCGCAGCCUCAUCAAGUUCACCGAGCAUCCUGAGCUAGCCGCGGCGGCAAAGGACGAUGCAGCCAAGCACGUGCUGCAAGAAGAGGUGAGGGAACUGCGAAACCAGGUUCAAAGGCUGCAGCGCGAGAAGGAACUGUCACUGCGUCAGUCUGAGGAGGCGUGCGAGGCUGCAGAGUUUUACAAGGAGCUCUGCGAUCAGCUCUACGAGGAGUCUCUGCGUGCCGCGGAGGCAAUCGCGGUCGAUGGCGCUACGUCGGGCUUGGAAUGCAUUGUGACACCACUGCCGAACGGAAACAUCGAUGACGCGACGCUCUCCGCCUCUACUGCCCCGUCUACGGCGACCUCGAUGGAAGCGCAGAUGAGGCAGCUGCACGGGGCCCUGGAAUUCGAGCGAGCGCGGUCGUCGGCGCUCGAGGAGACGGUGAGUUUGCUUCACACUGCCAUGAAAGCGACCACUGCCGCUGACACUAAGCGCUCUACUCCUGCGCCAGACAGCUCUGCAGGGUGGGCAGAGAGGCGCAGAGGGGACGACACUAGUGCCGUCUACGCCAGCCGUUCUCACGUGUUCGCAGACGACACCCGAAAGAGUAGGACCCGGCUAAAGCGACUUGUGGCCGUUCUGCGCAUCGAGAAUCGUCUUUUGACGCAGCGGGUGUCAGAGGUGGUCGCGCGCAACAUGCGCUGCGUCAAGGACAUUUCGGCCCUAAAGCUGGCCAACAAACGCCUUGAGCUGAACCAGCGGCAAGAGAGCUAGCAUCCUAGGCUGCCCGCUUUCGAAUCACCAAAGCACACCUGCUCUGUCCACGCCACUCUCCGUGCCGUUCGCCUUCUUGGGCCCUGAUAGCUUCCUUUUCCUUUUCGUCCGCUUCUGCUUCUGUGCUCUCGCUGCCGUUUUUUUUUUUUACUUCCCCGUCCACUGUGUCUGUGUGUGUGUGUGUUUUCGCGUAUUGCUCCUCGUUGACUCUGCUCUGUAGACACGUAUCAUGCCUCUGAAACUGUCUCACUCCACGGGCGGAGCAAAAGAGAGGGGAGGAGGAACGCCAUAGUACUUCUGCAGCGAUGACAGCUGCGGUUGCUGCUCCUGCCGUUUCCCUCGCUCGCCUUUCCCAUGUGCACUCAAGGCAAAGCUCACCUGCAAGCUCUGGCUGGUAUGGUGGCUGUUCACCUUUUCGUCCACGUGUUUGUGCUUGUGCGUAUGUGCGAUGCAUCGAGGAAAUGUAUGAGCAUGCCAUGUUUCCGUCUCCGCCACUGCUACGCGAUUUUACAUCGCGUCAGUGGAGUGGGCUUUCAUUGUCUUCCUUCCUGGACGGCCUUCCUUUGCGUCUACUUUGCACACGUGCCCCGUCUUCCACCUCCCUAUUCUUGCAUCUCCCAG